UGUGGCCGACCAGUCUGUCUAGUUGAAAAUUAAAUUUUUCAUCACCUCGACAAUUCCCACGCUGCUACCCAUUCGUUCUGAAUAAAGUCCUUCAUUCACUUCGGGGAUUUCCACAGAGCACUGGAUGUCUCGACGGCACACAGAUUGCCAUCAAAUCGGCUUCCUUCAUCAGCAUGUGUUUGUCUAAUGGAAGGGCUUCCAUUCUCUGAAUGUUCAAGCCACAAGCUACGCUAAACUACGGAUCAAAGCCUGCUGCUCAAAGACCUCAAGAAAUAGAGUGUUGUCAGUGAGGAUCAGAUCGUCAAUACUUCACAUUAAAUCCCAGGGUUCGCUGUUUCGACUUCUCUGAGCCACAAGUUCCUCCAUGCAAUCAAAAGCUGUGAAGUCCGUCUCCAAGUCAAAUUUGUUCGCCACGAAUUCUGGUCUCUCCUUGAGCCAAGGCCUAUUUUAAAUCAACUAUAGAGGGUCUCCGUGACCGAGAUGAUUGGCGUGCCAGCGCGGCGCAAUGACCCAGGAGCCUCACACCAUUGUGGCCUCAAGUACAGCCAUCAGAGAUAAAACGUGUAGUAGCUCGAAGGAAUUUAUGGCACUUUUUUAUCAGGCGUCUUCAGCUGAGGAUUUCCAUCAAGGUCAUUCAAGGUCGCCCAGUAAUGCUCGUCAGGACUGUAGGUGUGGCUGCACCAUUUCAAGAAUUUGAUUGGCAGAGGAUCACGAAGGG
Liolophura sinensis is the source of this 718-nucleotide long non-coding RNA. RefSeq lists it as uncharacterized. The record is from RefSeq and is a predicted model, not a curated record. NCBI's taxonomy places the organism in Eukaryota, Metazoa, Mollusca, Polyplacophora, Chitonida, Chitonidae. The transcript has 5 exons.